GUAUCUCUGAGGAUAGAAAGGUUUGAUCCCUGGCCUCAAUCAGUGGGUUAAGGAUCCAGCGUUGCCAUGAGCUGUGGCGUAGGUUCCCAGGCUAGGGGUCCAAUCAGAGCUGUAGCUGCCAGCCUACACCAGAGCCACAGCAACUCGGGAUCCGAGCCGCGUCUGCAACCUACACCACUGCUCACGGCAACACCGGAUCCUUAACCCACUAAGCAAGGGCAGGGAUCGAACCCACAACCUCAUGGUUCCUAGUCGGAUUCGUUAACCACUGAGCCGUGACGGGAACUCCAGGUUGGUUUUUUUUAAUGCAAGUUUUAUAUGAAAUAUAAUAUACACCAUAGAAUCAUACACAAAUGCUUGAUAUACACCAUAGAAUCAUACACAAAUGUUUGAAUGAACGUAACUACAUAACCACACCGAGAUCAAGAAACGGAACAUCGCUGGCCCACCUGAAUACUCCCUUAUUCCCCUUUCAAUCACAGUCUCACUUUACUAUAAAUAAAUUUUGAAUGUUUUUGAAAUUUAUAUAAGUGAAUUCUCAAUUUCAUUCUCUUUUGUGUCUGGCUUCUUGUGCUCAACAUUAUGUUUGUGAGAUUCAUCCAUGUUUGCAGUGUGUCAUUGUGAUUUGUUUAUCCUCCUUGGUGUAUAAUAUUCUAGUACAUGAAUAUAUCACAGUAUCAAUCUACCCUGCUGUUAAUGGGUAUUUAGGUGGUGUCCUUUUAGUCUAUUAUAGAUUUCGCUGCUAAUUAUCAUUCUAGUUCAUGUCUCUUGGAGAACAUAUGCAAGCAUUUCUACUGUAUAUGUAUAUGCUUUUAUUGGGCAUAUUUGUAAUAGUAUAUGCAUAUGUUCAGUUUUGGUAGACCCUGCCAAACUGUCUUCAAAGUGGUCUUCUCUUUCCUUUUAAAAAGGAAUGUAGCUGAAGGUUCUUGUAAAUAAAUGAAUUACUCUGUUUACCAUAUGAAUCUGUUUGCCAAAAUUAUAUCGAUGGCCUACACUUCCAGUAAUAUCGCUGUUGUAUAAAGCAAAGUAUGUCUGGGUGAGUUUGUAACUUUAUUUCUGAGAUUUCCUUUUCCUGGGAAUUCUUCGCUCUAUCACUAAAAAGCCAUUUGACGAUUUCAAAUAUGGCAGAGCUUAAACUGGUUGAUUUUCAGUAGUCGUUUCAGUGCUCAUUCUAAGCUUUUCUCACCUUUCAAUUCUGUGACCAUAACCCUUGAAUUAUUUGCUUGUGCUCACCGAGUCUUGGCUUGCAGCAGGGCCCCUCCACAAGAGGGUACAUACCCACUUUCGUUCUUCAGCUCAAACAACAUUCGCAAAAGUUCUGCCUUCAAAACAGUCUAAAGAAUUGUUAUUGAGCAAUUUCCCAAAUUAUGUACGUUUUUUCCCUUCUGGUUUCAGACGUUUUAUGCUCCCUUUCGUCCUUACCAUCACCACGUCAUUUCUUGCCUGCCUCCUGUGGACAGAGCACAGAGGGAAACACUCACUUUACAUGUGUUAUUUCAUUUAAUUUUCAUAGCAGGCCCAUCAAAUAGGAAUCAUCACAGCUUAUUGAGCCAAGGCACAGAGAGGUGUUAAGUUGCUCCAGAACAGCUCACAAGUGGCAGAAUCGAGGUUCUAACCACAGGGCACAAGACUCUGAAGUCAGAGCUCUUUCCUUCUAAUAAACAUCCUCACGUCCCUAUAUCCCUCCCUUGGAAGUGCUUAAAUUACAAAGAACAAAACACCUCCUGCACAGAACUCUUUGAAGCGAAUGUUCUGUUCAGUCAAGUUCAUUAGCUGGUUGUCAGGAGAAAUCUCCAGCGAAUGCCUGUUAGCUGUGCUUUGAGUCAGUAAAUGUUGAAAACUCUGCAUCUGUGAACUCUUUGUCCCUCUUCUCUCCUUGCCAACCAGCUCAGUAUUCUGCUGCCAACAGAAUCUUUCUCUCCUAUCCCUGAUACUUGAUACCCCAUACUUGAUUCACACUGGAUUCCAAAUCAAUUGUAAAUUGUUAGCCAAUUGCAAAUCCAGACUACUUCCCACUCCUGCUUGGCACCCCCUUCCCAUCUCCCUCUGGCUGUCUUCUAGUCCCAUGGCCAUCAAAUUGAGCUUUCACCAUUAUGUCUGCUCAUCAUCUGUUAUUUCAGAUCUGAGCAAAGCAAUGGAGACAAUUCCUUUCUUUCAGCAUCUGUGCUCUCUAGGAGGUUAAUGUGGCAAUAUUUGUAAUGAUUAUGAAAAGGAGGCUUUACUUUGAUCCUUCCCGCCUGUAGCUACAGUUCUGGCUUUAUUUUUAUGGCUAGACUUUUGGUGUCUGGGACUAUGAUUCUAAGACUACAAAAUAUUUCAAUGGCAAAGGGAAAGAUUCUAAUAUCCAACCUCCACGGUAAUUAAUAGCUUCUAUUUAAGCUCCUAGCGUGUGUUAGGCAUUAUUCAGGGUACACUGUAUAAGAUGUAUGGCAUAUUAAUUUAUCAACAUGACAACCCUGUGAAUUUUGUUAGUCCCAUUUACAGAUGAGGAAAUUGAGGCAGGGGGAGUUAAGCAAUUGACUCAUGGGUAUCAGCUGGAAAGCGGUAGCCUCAGGAUUCGAACCCAGGCAGUCUAACUCUAGUCAUGUUUAUUCAUUCUGCUCCUCUGCCCAAUGGUGGAUAAGUCCUGGAACGAGUCCUCUGUCUGAAGCUAGGAAAGUGGAAUGGGCCCUGGCUGUGCCACUUAUUAGAGGGGAGAGGACAAUUUUCCUAUUUGUAAAAUAAGGACAAGCCAGGUUGAUGUGAUAUUCAGCAAGAGUGGUGCACGUGAAAGUGCUUUGUGAGCUGCAAAGCAAAGGCUAGAGGCGGCAUCAUGACCGUUGUCUCCUCGCAUUACUCUCCUUGAGAUGCAGCCUCAGUUCAUUGAGAUUUGAUUCAAAGCACAUGAUGGGUCUGCAAGGCGCUGGCAUUAAUAACCACCUGAUAUUUUGCUUUGUCACCAUUUCUGCUCUAUCCAAACUAUGAAAACACCCAGAUUUUGCCCCUUUGAAAGAACAUAAAAUAUUGGAAGAUUUCUGAAAGUAGGCUCCACUUGAUAUUGGAGUUCCGCUUUCACAGACCUACUGACGCCAAAGUCCAGUUUGUAGAGGAGCCCCAGGCCCCCGAUACAUGCAAGGAGUGAUGCUUAGGAAGAGCCUCCAAGGGCUGUGGGUUCUUGGAAGGAAUAGGGUCCAGCUCUGCUCAGUUUUCUGUGCCAAGUUCCUGAGCAGCUUGAUUUCUAGGGAAAAUACCUAAUUGCUGGUGUGGCAGCAUCUUAGGUAGGAAACAGCAAGGUGUAGUGGAAAGAACACAGGGAGAUUUGGGUCCCGUUGAAUGCUGACUCCUCACAAUAUCACCAGAUUCCCUGCAGUUAAGACGAGGCUGAGUUUAUUGCUUGCCUCAGUCAAGCAAGCGCCACCUAGGUGGAGUUUUAACUUCUCAGAGUGAGGAGAGUGAAGUUGGGGCAUUUAGGAGGCUUUGAGGAAGUCUUAACUAGGAUUGGAUGAGGAUCAGCUAUAAUAGUUUAAGACUAGUGAACACAGUAAGGCAAGAGGGGUCGUGGAGUCAUUGGAUGCUAUGUUGGUAAAACCAGGCAGUUUGCAGUAGGUUUUGGGGAAGUCUCUGAAGUGAAUAACAAUGUUAUUUGCAACUUUUAUCUUCCUGGCCAAGACUUUCCUGGAAGAGCAGAGUACGUUGAUGGAGCCAGUGAAAUAGUAGUUUUGGCAGUGAAGUCAGCAGAAUAGUCCCAUUAUGGUAGACAGUGAGCCACAAUGGUGUAGACAGUUUUUAGCUCUCAGCCUGAACCCUGGCAGCAGCUUACCAGAUGUGUGACCUAGGUCAUUAUCUGUGAAAUGGUGACACUCAUACUGACUUUGCAAGGUAUUUUUGAGGGUUAAAUCAUAGGAUAUGUAUAAAAUACCUUGGACAGAGUAAGUAGUCAACUACUAGUGAGUUUCUGAACUUUCAGAAAUAAUAUCCAAAAUCAUUGUGAAGAACUUGUCUUUGCGAAUAGGAAGCUGCUGUCAUAGCUGAUGGUUUGAGAAUCACGCUGCUGUAGCCAUGAUCCCUGGCAGCAGAGGGAUGUGCUGCACUCUGCCUUUCUCUGCAUGUGACUUAGCUCCUGAUCAAACUCCAGUGCAGGGAAUUCCAUGAUGUCUCUUGGGGUUGAGGAUCCAGUGUUUUCCCUGCUGUGGUGUGGGUUUGAUCCCUGGCCCCAGAACUUUCUCAUGCCAUGGGCAUGGCCAAAAAGGAAAAAAAACCAAAAAACAAAACUUGUCCAGUGCAUCUCCUUGUUAGAACCUAAUUCACACACAGAAGCCCAGCUGCAACGGCAUCUGGGGGGGUAUGGUUUUUGCUUUUCCGGCCUCUGCAUGCUACGGAGAGGUUGGACUGGGUACAGAGCAAAGCAGUUCACGUUACCCACCACAGGCAGCAUGCCAUUGAAGCUUAACUCUCAAGGCACAGCGACUUCCUGAGCAAGGAACCCCAUGCUCUCUGCUCUUUCCCCAUCUUUGUCAUUUCACUGCCCAUUAGACUCCUAACCACCAAAGAGAGCAAAGGCAAAGAGUGGAGGAGAAAUAAAUUUGUCUGCUUUGCUUCUUGCAGAUGAAAGAGGUAAGGUGAAAAAUUAUUGGCUGCUGGCAUAAUACACAGAGCAUCAGAGUUAAAGAAUUACGCUUGAGUCUCUGGGCAGGUUCGUUGUCCCCAUUCUACCCACCCCAGGUUUUGGGCAAGGAGAUGAGCCCCAUGACCCAGAGAGUGAGCACAUCCUUCCCCUCCCACCUCUACCACACCUGCACUUGGCCUGCUCUUCAUUUAGUCAUUCAACAAGCAGGCCACAUGCCACAGUUAGAUGAGAAAUCGGUAUCUCUACUGGGCACCCAAAUGUUUCCCACCUCCGUCUUGCAAAUCCCUUUGAGAUCGCUCCUCUGAAUGAGGGAGGGAAAUUUGAAGAACGUAGAAGCCUGGGUUUUUGUCCUAGGUCAGCCCAUUUCUCUGCUGUGUGUAUUGGUCAGCUCAGGCGGCCAUACCACAGACUGGGUGGCUCAAACAACAGAUACGAAUUUUCUCACAACUCCAGAGGCUGAAAGUCCAAAAUCAAGGUGUCAGCAGGUUUAGUUUUUCCUUAGGCAUCUCUCCUUGGCUUGCAGAUGGCUGCCUACUUGCUGUCCUCACAGCCUCUUCCACGUGUGUGCAUGUCUUAUAGGGACACUGUGGAUAAGGGGCCCAUUCUCAGGCUCUCCUUUGCCUUAGUGACCUCUCGAAAGGCCUUCUCUCCAAGUAUAGUCAUACUGAGAGUUAGGGAUUCAGUGUACCAUUUGGGAGGCCAUACACUGUGUGGUCUUGGACAAGUCCUGUCACCUCUGGCCUCAGUUUCAUGCACAACCUGAUAGGACUGGGGCAUAUGGCUUCCUUUCAGCUCUUUGACUCUAUCAUUUCUUUGGGGACAUUCAACUCCUAAGUGACAACUCAGGAAGUGACUUGUUUUCUUGAAGCGAGACUAGUGGCUUCAAUCACCCUGUGACCCCCUUCCCACUGCCGGGGCCCUUCCUGCUCCGUUUCCAUCACUCUUCUAGCCCUUUCCACACUCUCUGCUUUGUACUUGUACCGAUUUGUUGGCACGUCUGUCUUCCCCAGAGUCUU
RNAcentral lists this long non-coding RNA (5622 nucleotides) under Sus scrofa (pig). Its description in RNAcentral is "lncRNA (ENSSSCG00005019646.1)". Lineage: Eukaryota; Metazoa; Chordata; Mammalia; Artiodactyla; Suidae. The record is from RNAcentral.